GGUUUCCGUAGGUGACCUGCGGAAGGAUCAUUGUCGAUGCCUGCAAAGUAGACCCGGCGAACUCGUUAAAAUAUGCGUGGGGGUUUGAGAAGGGGCGCGCGAGCCCCCCCGACACACUCCCCCACCCCCCGGGACUUGGCCCGGGUUCCCCUUGCGGGGACUCGGCCAAGGCUCCCGACAACGAACCCCGGCGCUGUCUGCGCCAAGGAACCUUAACCGAAGAGCUGGCCCCCCGGUGUCCCGUUCGCGGUGUGCACGGGGGGCGUACGCAUCUUUCGAAUCUAAAACGACUCUCGGCAACGGAUAUCUCGGCUCUCGCAUCGAUGAAGAACGUAGCGAAAUGCGAUACUUGGUGUGAAUUGCAGAAUCCCGUGAACCAUCGAGUUUUUGAACGCAAGUUGCGCCCAAAGCCAUUAGGCUAAGGGCACGUCUGCCUGGGCGUCACGCAUCACGUCGCCCCCAACCCCGACAAUGCCCGGCUGGCAGCCGGAUAUUGCGGGAGUUGCGGGCGGAGAUUGGCCUCCCGUCCACGACCGUGCGCGGUUGGCCCAAAAAGCGAGUUCUUGACGACGGACGUCACGACGAGUGGUGGUUGGAAGACCUCUUGCGUCGAGUCGUGAGGCACCCGAGUCUGUAACGAGCUCUGACCGCGACCCUGUGCGCCUUCCUUAGGGGGCGGCGCUCCGACCGCGACCCCA
This 698-nucleotide unclassified non-coding RNA is filed under the name Ilex rotunda. Its description in RNAcentral is "partial contains small subunit ribosomal RNA, internal transcribed spacer 1, 5.8S ribosomal RNA, and internal transcribed spacer 2". The stretch from base 289 to 444 matches the Rfam family "5.8S ribosomal RNA". The record is from RNAcentral. Lineage: Eukaryota; Viridiplantae; Streptophyta; Magnoliopsida; Aquifoliales; Aquifoliaceae.